RNAcentral lists this ribosomal RNA (497 nucleotides) under uncultured bacterium. RNAcentral describes it as "partial 16S ribosomal RNA". It matches the Rfam family "Bacterial small subunit ribosomal RNA", at positions 29 to 507 of the family's 1533-position model. The record is from RNAcentral.
ACGCACGCUGGCGGCGUGCCUAAUACAUGCAAGUCGAACGAGAGCGACCGGUGCUUGCACUGGUCAAUCUAGUGGCGAACGGGUGAGUAACACGUGGGUAACCUGCCCAUCAGAGGGGGAUAACAUCCGGAAACGGAUGCUAAAACCGCAUAGGUCUUCGAGCCGCAUGGCUUGAAGAGGAAAAGAGGCGCAAGCUUCUGCUGAUGGAUGGACCCGCGGUGCAUUAGCUAGUUGGUGAGGUAACGGCUCACCAAGGCCGUGAUGCAUAGCCGACCUGAGAGGGUGAUCGGCCACAUUGGGACUGAGACACGGCCCAAACUCCUACGGGAGGCAGCAGUAGGGAAUCUUCCGCAAUGGACGCAAGUCUGACGGAGCAACGCCGCGUGAGUGAAGAAGGUUUUCGGAUCGUAAAACUCUGUUGUUAGAGAAGAACAAGUGCUAGAGUAACUGUUAGCGCCUUGACGGUAUCUAACCAGAAAGCCACGGCUAACUACGUG